GCUCAUAUCAGUUCAUAUUCACCAAAUCUAUUUCAUAUGAAAGCGUAAAGUCGACCCUUCUCCUUCGUUUCUUCGAUGAAGUUCUGUAACGACUUCUUUCUUCAACGAUCAAUAGAUUUCUUUAAUCCCCUCUUAAUGAAUUCGUUUCACCUAGCAUAUAACUCUUCAGAUUCACUCAGGUUCUCAAUAUAUAACUUCCUCUCCGAUUCUCUGAUCACUUAUUCCACCCACAUCCAAACAAAUCUCAGCGCAUCGAUGGCUUCAAAAAUCUUCAAUGAUGGUGCCGUUAGUCAACUCAUCUUCGCAUUAAAACCACUCUCCUCCGAUCUCUCUCUCAUCUUUUACCUUCUUCUCCGGCGACUUUCAUACACCUUCGAAUCUGAAUGAGUUUGUGAGUGGAGGAGUGAGGACUGACUUUGCUUCCAGUCCUUGCUACGAACGACUAAAAGAUUGUUGCUAUAUAAAAUUUUCAAAAGUUAUUAACAUACAUAAAAUAAAGCCACUUUGCUUCACCAGAAAGACGACCGACAUGCUUAAAUUACUCUAUUGAUUAUUUUUGAUAUCUUUAGCAUCUGGUCCCUUAAUUUUUGGUUUGUGAGUUGCCUUUGAACUUAUAUGUACAAGUUAAUCAAAGAGGUUUGUGAUGGACUUUUGAUAAUGUUUGGCGAGCUGUUCUUUGAGUACAUGUUAUACUUCUUCUUGCUUGCAUUUUGAAUUUUCCUGAUACUAAUUCAUGGAACUUAUCUGUGUAUCUCAUUCUAUUUGAUCAGGAAUGAAAAUAUUUUACUAGCUUAUGAAGGGUUGGCAAAAAAUUUUUUUGUUGUAGAUGAUAUCAGAAAUUGGUACUUUCAAGCCUUUCAAAGCAAUCCUUACAUGCAUCAAACGUGAUCUUAAGCCAGCGGGGAGGUUAAUUCAGUGACCCAUAUGUUUCGUUUAAGUCCACGUUUAUCGAGUAUGUUGUUAUACGCUGGUAGAGCCAAAGAGAGCACCUGAAGUACUUCUACAGUCCUAUCUAUGCACAUUAGAAGUUGGUUAGUAUCAAAUUUUUGUACUCCAUCAGGUGCAUUUACUAUAAGACACCAUCUGCGGAGGCUCUGUAACACCCCUUCUUUCAGGUUCUGAUUAGAGAAAAGUCUUUCUCAAGGUCAUAAGCUCUUUUGGGCGAUGGAUAUUUCAUAGUUUUGAUUUUUUUGUUUUUUAUUUUCCAGUGUGCCCGGAAAUAUUUCCCUUGAAACGAGCAUACCAGUGGGAUUUGGUGUUGUAGUCAGAUUUUUCUAAUACUUUAAGUUGACUAUCGGAAUGAGCUAGAGCAGAGUGAUACUUUAAGUUGAAAAUAUAUUUGCUUUGAUAAGUU
Long non-coding RNA from Brassica oleracea var. oleracea, 1354 nucleotides. RefSeq lists it as uncharacterized. The record is from RefSeq and is a predicted model, not a curated record. Lineage: Eukaryota; Viridiplantae; Streptophyta; Magnoliopsida; Brassicales; Brassicaceae. The transcript has 5 exons.